AAUCAACGCUGGCGGCGUGCCUCAGACAUGCAAGUCGAACGAUUAAAGCUCCCUUCGGGGAGUGCAUAGAGUGGCGCACGGGUGAGUAACACGUAAGUAAUCUACCUUUGAGUGGGGAAUAACGUUCGGAAACGGACGCUAAUACCGCAUAAUGCAGCGGCAUCGCAAGAUGACAGUUGUUAAAGGAGCAAUCCGCUUAAAGAGGAGCUUGCGGCAGAUUAGCUUGUUGGUAAGGUAACGGCUUACCAAGGCUACGAUCUGUAUCCGGUCUAAGAGGACGGUCGGACACACUGACACUGAAUAACGGGUCAGACUCCUACGGGAGGCAGCAGUCGGGAAUUUGGGCAAUGGGCGAAAGCCUGACCCAGCAACGCCGCGUGAAGGAUGAAGUAUUUCGGUAUGUAAACUUCGAAAGAAUAGAAGAAUAAAUGACGGUACUAUUUAUAAGCUCCGGCUAACUACGUG
Molecule: ribosomal RNA, 465 nt
Filed under: uncultured bacterium
Lineage: Bacteria
Description: bacterial SSU rRNA
Rfam family: Bacterial small subunit ribosomal RNA
Source: RNAcentral